Molecule: transfer RNA, 74 nt
Filed under: Bacillota bacterium
Lineage: Bacteria; Bacillati; Bacillota
Description: tRNA-Gly
Rfam family: tRNA
About the family: Transfer RNA (tRNA) molecules are approximately 80 nucleotides in length. Their secondary structure includes four short double-helical elements and three loops (D, anti-codon, and T loops). Further hydrogen bonds mediate the characteristic L-shaped molecular structure. tRNAs have two regions of fundamental functional importance: the anti-codon, which is responsible for specific mRNA codon recognition, and the 3' end, to which the tRNAs corresponding amino acid is attached (by aminoacyl-tRNA synthetases). tRNAs cope with the degeneracy of the genetic code in two manners: having more than one tRNA (with a specific anti-codon) for a particular amino acid; and 'wobble' base-pairing, i.e. permitting non-standard base-pairing at the 3rd anti-codon position.
Source: RNAcentral
GCAGGCGUAGUUCAGUGGUAGAACCCGACCUUGCCAAGGUCGUCACGCGAGUUCGAUUCUCGUCGCCUGCUCCA